This 468-nucleotide ribosomal RNA is filed under the name uncultured bacterium. Its description in RNAcentral is "partial 16S ribosomal RNA". It matches the Rfam family "Bacterial small subunit ribosomal RNA", at positions 28 to 507 of the family's 1533-position model. The record is from RNAcentral.
GACGAACGCUGGCGGCGUGCUUAACACAUGCCAGUCGAACGGAAAGGCCCUGCUUUUGUGGGGUGCUCGAGUGGCGAACGGGUGAGUAACACGUGAGUAACCUGCCCUUGACUUUGGGAUAACUUCAGGAAACUGGGGCUAAUACCGGAUAGGAGCUCCUGCUGCAUGGUGGGGGUUGGAAAGUUUCGGCGGUUGGGGAUGGACUCGCGGCUUAUCAGCUUGUUGGUGGGGUAGUGGCUUACCAAGGCUUUGACGGGUAGCCGGCCUGAGAGGGUGACCGGCCACAUUGGGACUGAGAUACGGCCCAGACUCCUACGGGAGGCAGCAGUGGGGAAUAUUGCACAAUGGGCGGAAGCCUGAUGCAGCAACGCCGCGUGCGGGAUUACGGCCUUCGGGUUGUAAACCGCUUUCGCCUGUGACGAAGCGUGAGUGACGGUAAUGGGUAAAGAAGCACCGGCUAACUACGUG